RNAcentral lists this ribosomal RNA (308 nucleotides) under uncultured eukaryote. Its description in RNAcentral is "partial large subunit ribosomal RNA". It matches the Rfam family "Eukaryotic large subunit ribosomal RNA", at positions 40 to 350 of the family's 3401-position model. The record is from RNAcentral.
AUAUCAGUAAGCGGAGGAAAAGAAAAUAACAAUGAUUACCUCAGUAGCGGCGAGUGAAGAGGUAAAAGCCCAAGAUGUUAAUCUGCAGCAAAACUGUAGAAUUGUAAUCUAUAGAAUUUCUCAGAAGGAGAGACUCGUCAUAAGUUCUUUGGAACAAGACACCAUAGAGGGUGAAAGUCCCGUCUUUGGAUGAGUCGAACUGUAUGAGACGUUUCUAAGAGUCGGGUAGUUUGGGAAUGCUGCCCUAAGUGGGAGAUAAACUUCUCCUAAGGCUAAAUAUAAGAUAGGAGACCGAUAGCGCACAAGUA